RNAcentral lists this ribosomal RNA (253 nucleotides) under uncultured bacterium. Its description in RNAcentral is "partial 16S ribosomal RNA". It matches the Rfam family "Bacterial small subunit ribosomal RNA", at positions 524 to 776 of the family's 1533-position model. The record is from RNAcentral.
GACGUAGGGCGCGAGCGUUGUCCGGAAUCACUGGGCGUAAAGGGCGCGUAGGUGGCCUGAUAAGUAGGAGGUGAAAUCCUGGGGCUUAACCUCAGGGCUGCCUUCUAGACUGUCCGGCUCGAGCACAGUAGAGGCAGGUGGAAUUCCCGGUGUAGCGGUGGAAUGCGUAGAGAUCGGGAAGAACAUCGGUGGCGAAGGCGGCCUGCUGGGCUGUUGCUGACACUGAGGCGCGACAGCGUGGGGAGCAAACAGG